Molecule: non-coding RNA, 643 nt
Organism: Miniopterus natalensis
Lineage: Eukaryota; Metazoa; Chordata; Mammalia; Chiroptera; Miniopteridae
Source: RefSeq, a predicted model, not a curated record
CCUUCGCGUUUGCCGGGCCGAACCCCAAGGCGCGUUCGCCCAGGGCGCAGUCUGCGCUCUUGGACGCGGGCCGCGGGCACGUCGGGGCUCCUCAGGGUCGCCCUCAGCCCCUCCUCUCCCCUCCACGGGUGGGCUAGGCCGGCUGGGGCGCCCCUCUGCGUCUCACCAGAGGUCAAGCUGCGAGUCCCCGGAGUCGUUCGGCGGAGCCAGAGCCUGUCCCGCAGCGGACAGACGGGGGGACUUCUCCCAGCCGCAAGGCCUGGCCGCCCAGCGGGCCUGAAAGGCUGGGCGCGCGCUGUGCCCAAGGACAACCAGCAGAGGCUUCCAGAUGGGGCUCAGCGUGCCUCCUGGGCUGAACACGCUCAGCGUUUACCCAGGAGGCGACACUCUCUCCAGUUUCAAAGGACAGCUCGCCGGGGGGGCCCCCCAGUAAAAAGGGGCGUGAAGAUGUCUCUGGGUGGCUUCCCAGCCUCUAAGGCGACAGGAGACGUCGGCCGUCUGCAACCUGGGAAAGGGCCCUCACCAGGCACGGAGGCGACCAGCACCCCUCGAUCUUGGAUUUCCCGGCACCAGAACUGCUCGCACCCUGCUCACCCGGUGGAGGACUUGCCAUCUGGGGCGUGCAUUGCAGCGGAGAGACCCA